This 459-nucleotide ribosomal RNA is filed under the name uncultured bacterium. RNAcentral's name for it is "partial 16S ribosomal RNA". It matches the Rfam family "Bacterial small subunit ribosomal RNA", at positions 338 to 795 of the family's 1533-position model. The record is from RNAcentral.
CCUACGGGAGGCAGCAGUGAGGAAUAUUGGUCAAUGGUCGCGAGCCUGAACCAGCCAAGCCGCGUGAGGGAAGACGGUCCUAUGUAUUGUAAACCUCUUUUGUCGGGGAGCAAAGACUGCGACGCGUGCCCGUCCGAGAGUACCCGAAGAAAAAGCAUCGGCUAACUCCGUGCCAGCAGCCGCGGUAAUACGGAGGAUGCGAGCGGUAUCCGGAUUUCUUGGGUUUAAAGGGUGCGCAGGCGGUAGUUCAAGUCAGCGGUCAAAUUGAGGGGCUCAACCCCGUCGAGCCGUUGAAACUGGUAGUCGUGAGUGAGGGAGAAGUAUGCGGAAUGCGUGGUGUAGCGGUGAAAUGCAUAGAUAUCGCGCAGAACUCCGAUUGCGAAGGCAGCAUACCGGCUCUAAACUGACGCUCAUGCACGAAAGUGUGGGUAUCGAACAGGAUUAGAUACCCGGGUAGUC